RNAcentral lists this long non-coding RNA (202 nucleotides) under Brassica rapa (field mustard). RNAcentral's name for it is "long non-coding RNA (BRAP_LNC000448)". Lineage: Eukaryota; Viridiplantae; Streptophyta; Magnoliopsida; Brassicales; Brassicaceae. The record is from RNAcentral.
AAUAAUGAAAAGAAUCAUAACUCAUGUUAAACGACGACAAUUUACAAUAUGGGAAAACUAUAAUUGCUGGAAACUUGACAUUUUUCUUCAUAUAACGUGAUGAAUCCUAUUUUAAUACACUUGCAGGCCCAGUCUUUAGAGGAAGCCCAAAAAGCAAGGGCUUCCGACCUUCAUAAAUAUAUAUUUGAUUCGACCAUCAAUG